GAGAGUUAAACAGUACGUGAAAUUGUUGAAAGGGAAACGAUUGAAGUCAGUCAUACUAACGGGAAAUCAACCUCUUGAGUUUGGUCUCGUGGCUUUCGAAGAGUUUUAAAAGCCUUCGGAUUUUCGAGAUUGGGCUCUUCUGGUGUACUUUCUCGUACGGUUAGUCAACAUCGGUUUUGAAUAUCAUAAAAUGACUGGAGGAAUGUGGCUUCGAUCUCGUAUUGAAGUGUUAUAGCCUUUGGUAGAUGUGAUGUUUGAGACCGAGGAUUGCAACGGAUACCCUUCUGGGCUAUUCGUCUGAUCUCUGAAACGUUGCCUUGAUGUCGAAAGCUUGCUUAUGAUGUUAGGGUAUUACGGUCAAAAGGUUAGAACGGAUUAAAUUCGUUAAGGAUGUUGACGUAAUGACUUUAAACGA
RNAcentral lists this ribosomal RNA (415 nucleotides) under uncultured Funneliformis. RNAcentral describes it as "partial 28S ribosomal RNA". The record is from RNAcentral. Lineage: Eukaryota; Fungi; Glomeromycota; Glomeromycetes; Glomerales; Glomeraceae.